AUUGAACGCUGGCGGCAGGACUACCACAUGAAAGUCGAGCGGAGCGGCGGACGGGUGAGUAAUGCCUAGGAAUCUGCCUGGUAGUGGGGGAUAACGUCCGGAAACGGGCGCUAAUACCGCAUACUAUCAGAUGAACCUAGGUGGGAUUAGCUAGUUGGUGGGGUAAAGGCCUACCAAGUCGACGAUCCGUACCUGGUCUGAGAGGAUGAUCAGUCACCCUGGAACUGAGACACGGUCCAGACUCCUACGGACGGCAGCAGUGUGGAAUAUUGGACAAUGGGCGAAAGCCUGAUCCGGCCUUGCCGCUUGUGUGAAGAAGGUCUUCGGAUUGUAAAGCACUUUACGUUGGGAUGCGUUACCAACAGAAUAAGCACCGGCUAACGUCGUGCCAGCAGCCGCGGUAAUUC
This 407-nucleotide ribosomal RNA is filed under the name uncultured bacterium. RNAcentral's name for it is "partial 16S ribosomal RNA". It matches the Rfam family "Bacterial small subunit ribosomal RNA", at positions 30 to 526 of the family's 1533-position model. The record is from RNAcentral.